UACGUAGGGGGCAAGCGUUGUCCGGAUUUAUUGGGCGUAAAGAGCGUGUAGGCGGCUUUACAGGUCCGUUGUGAAAACUCGAGGCUCAACCUCGAGACGCCGGUGGAAACCGUAAGGCUAGAGUCCGGAAGAGGAGAGUGGAAUUCCUGGUGUAGCGGUGAAAUGCGCAGAUAUCAGGAGGAACACCAGUGGCGAAGGCGACUUCCUGGCCUGUUCUUGACGCUGAGGCGCGAAAGCUAGGGGAGCAAACGGG
This 253-nucleotide ribosomal RNA is filed under the name uncultured bacterium. Its description in RNAcentral is "partial 16S ribosomal RNA". It matches the Rfam family "Bacterial small subunit ribosomal RNA", at positions 524 to 776 of the family's 1533-position model. The record is from RNAcentral.